This is a ribosomal RNA of 537 nucleotides. The stretch from base 171 to 324 matches the Rfam family "5.8S ribosomal RNA".
UCUCCGUUGGUGAACCAGCGGAGGGAUCAUUAAAGAGUUGAAAAACUCCAACCCCUGUGAACCUACCUUUACUGUUGCUUCGGCGGAAUAUGGCCCCCCGGGCCGGACGCCGCCGGAGGUUACAAACCCUGAAUUUUAGUGUAUCUCUGAGCACAAAACCAAAUAAUUAAAACUUUCAACAACGGAUCUCUUGGUUCUGGCAUCGAUGAAGAACGCAGCGAAAUGCGAUAAGUAAUGUGAAUUGCAGAAUUCAGUGAAUCAUCGAAUCUUUGAACGCACAUUGCGCCCGCCGGUAUUCCGGCGGGCAUGCCUGUCCGAGCGUCAUUUCACCACUCAAGCCCAGCUUGGUGUUGGGGCACCCGGCCGCCCGGCGGUCGGGGCCCCCAAGAACAUCGGCGGUCUCGCCAGGACCCUGAACGCAGUAACUCGCGGUAAAACGCGCUUCGUUCGGAGGCUUUCCCGGCGGGCUCCAGCCGCUAAACCCCCUAAACUUCUUAGGUUGACCUCGGAUCAGGUAGGAAUACCCGCUGAACUUAA